RNAcentral lists this ribosomal RNA (284 nucleotides) under uncultured bacterium. RNAcentral's name for it is "partial 16S ribosomal RNA". It matches the Rfam family "Bacterial small subunit ribosomal RNA", at positions 28 to 301 of the family's 1533-position model. The record is from RNAcentral.
GACGAACGCUGGCGGCGUGCUUAACACAUGCAAGUGGAGCGACGAACCAGGCUUCGGCCUGGGGCAAAGCCGCGAACGGGUGAGUAACACGUGGGUAACCUGCCCUGAUGACCGGGACAACCCGAGGAAACUCGGGCUAAUACCGGAUGUGCUCCCACCACACCAGUGGUGUGAGUAAAGGUAGCUUCGGCCUCCGCAUCGGGAUGGGCCCGGCGGCGCAUUAGCUUGUUGGGUGGGGAAAGGUCCGUACCAACGGCAACGAUGCGUAGCUGGUCUGAGAGGAC